GACGAACGCUGGCGGCGUGCUUAACACAUGCAGGUCGAACGAUGAAGCGGUGCUUGCACCGUGGAUUAGUGGCGAACGGGUGAGUAAUACGUGAGUGACCUACCUUUGACUCUGGGAUAAGCCUGGGAAACUGGGUCUAAUACCGGAUACGACCAAUCUCUGCAUGGGGUGUUGGUGGAAAGCGUUAUGGAGUGGUUUUAGAUGGGCUCACGGCCUAUCAGCUUGUUGGUGAGGUAAUGGCUUACCAAGGCGACGACGGGUAGCCGGCCUGAGAGGGUGACCGGCCACACUGGGACUGAGACACGGCCCAGACUCCUACGGGAGGCAGCAGUGGGGAAUAUUGCACAAUGGGCGCAAGCCUGAUGCAGCGACGCCGCGUGAGGGAUGACGGCCUUCGGGUUGUAAACCUCUGUUAGCAUCGAAGAAGCGAAAGUGACGGUAGGUGCAGAGAAAGCGCCGGCUAACUACGUG
This 471-nucleotide ribosomal RNA is filed under the name uncultured bacterium. Its description in RNAcentral is "partial 16S ribosomal RNA". It matches the Rfam family "Bacterial small subunit ribosomal RNA", at positions 28 to 507 of the family's 1533-position model. The record is from RNAcentral.